RNAcentral lists this ribosomal RNA (256 nucleotides) under uncultured bacterium. RNAcentral's name for it is "partial 16S ribosomal RNA". It matches the Rfam family "Bacterial small subunit ribosomal RNA", at positions 524 to 779 of the family's 1533-position model. The record is from RNAcentral.
UACGUAGGGUGCAAGCGUUAAUCGGAAUUACUGGGCGUAAAGCGUGCGCAGGCGGUUGUGCAAGACCGAUGUGAAAUCCCCGGGCUUAACCUGGGAAUGGCAUUGGUGACUGCACGGCUAGAGUGUGUCAGAGGGGGUAGGAAUUCCACGUGUAGCAGUGAAAUGCGUAGAGAUGUGGAGGAAUACCGAUGGCGAAGGCAGCCCCCUGGGAUAACACUGACGCUCAUGCACGAAAGCGUGGGGAGCAAACAGGAUU